This 466-nucleotide ribosomal RNA is filed under the name uncultured bacterium. RNAcentral describes it as "partial 16S ribosomal RNA". It matches the Rfam family "Bacterial small subunit ribosomal RNA", at positions 28 to 507 of the family's 1533-position model. The record is from RNAcentral.
GACGAACGCUGGCGGCGUGCUUAACACAUGCAAGUCGAACGGUAAGGCCCCAGCUUGCUGGGGUACACGAGUGGCGAACGGGUGAGUAACAAGUGGGUGACCUGCCCUGCACUUCGGGAUAAGCCUGGGAAACUGGGUCUAAUACCGGAUAGGACCCUGGUGUGGAUACUGUGGUGGAAAGGUUUUUCGGUGUGGGAUGGGCCCGCGGCCUAUCAGCUUGUUGGUGGGGUAAUGGCCUACCAAGGCGGCGACGGGUAGCCGGCCUGAGAGGAUGGACGGCCACAUUGGGACUGAGAAACGGCCCGGACUCCUACGGGAGGCAGCAGUGGGGAAUAUGGCCCAAUGGGCGGAAGCCUGAUGCAGCGACGCCGCGUGGGGGAUGACGGCCUUCGGGUUGUAAACUCCUUUCACCAUCGACGAAGGGUUUGUGAAGGUAGAUGGAGAAGAAGCACCGGCUAACUACGUG